ACUUUACAAUGCGGGAAACCGUGAUAAGGGGACACCGAGUGCUAGCAUCAUAUGCUGGCUGUCCAGGUGUGUAAAAUACACCUGUUAGCAAGGGCCGGGCAAGACCGGUGCCAGCCGCCGCGGUAACACCGGCGGCCCGAGUGGUGAUCGUGAUUAUUGGGUCUAAAGGGUCCGUAGCCUGUUUGGUCAGUCCUCCGGGAAAUCUGACAGCUUAACUGUUAGGCUUUCGGAGGAUACUGCCAGACUUGGAACCGGGAGAGGUAAGAGGUACUACAGGGGUAGGAGUGAAAUCUUGUAAUCCCUGUGGGACCACCUGUGGCGAAGGCGUCUUACCAGAACGGGUUCGACGGUGAGGGACGAAAGCUGGGGGCACGAACCGG
RNAcentral lists this ribosomal RNA (380 nucleotides) under uncultured archaeon. Its description in RNAcentral is "bacterial SSU rRNA". It matches the Rfam family "Archaeal small subunit ribosomal RNA", at positions 347 to 727 of the family's 1478-position model. The record is from RNAcentral.